AGCAGCAGCCACGGGAAAACAGAGGGUGCGAGCGUUAAUCGGAUUUACUGGGCGUAAAGCGUGCGUAGGCGGCUUUUUAAGUCGGAUGUGAAAUCCCCGGGCUCAACCUGGGAACUGCAUUUGUGACUGUAUAGCUAGAGUACGGCAGAGGGGGAUGGAAUUCCGCGUGUAGCAGUGAAAUGCGUAGAUAUGCGGAGGAACACCGAUGGCGAAGGCAAUCCCCUGGGCCUGUACUGACGCUCAUGCACGAAAGCGUGGGGAGCAAACAGGAUUAGAUACCCGCGUAGUCCCUGUCUCUUAUAC
RNAcentral lists this ribosomal RNA (303 nucleotides) under uncultured bacterium. RNAcentral describes it as "partial 16S ribosomal RNA". It matches the Rfam family "Bacterial small subunit ribosomal RNA", at positions 507 to 807 of the family's 1533-position model. The record is from RNAcentral.